Molecule: ribosomal RNA, 303 nt
Filed under: uncultured bacterium
Lineage: Bacteria
Description: partial 16S ribosomal RNA
Rfam family: Bacterial small subunit ribosomal RNA
Source: RNAcentral
AGCAGUAGCCGCGGUAAUACGAAGGGGGCUAGCGUUGCUCGGAAUUACUGGGCGUAAAGGGAGCGUAGGCGGACAUUUAAGUCAGGGGUGAAAUCCCAGAGCUCAACUCUGGAACUGCCUUUGAUACUGGGUGUCUUGAGUGUGAUAGAGGUAUGUGGAACUCCGAGUGUAGAGGUGAAAUUCGUAGAUAUUCGGAAGAACACCAGUGGCGAAGGCGACAUACUGGAUCAUUACUGACGCUGAGGCUCGAAAGCGUGGGGAGCAAACAGGAUUAGAUACCCGCGUAGUCCCUGUCUCUUAUAC